GCCUCGGUGGUGUAGUGGUAGUGCACACGUACUCGGAUAGAAUGAAACACGGGUUCGAUUCCCGGCUGAGGCC
This is a non-coding RNA of Parelaphostrongylus tenuis, 73 nucleotides long. NCBI's taxonomy places the organism in Eukaryota, Metazoa, Nematoda, Chromadorea, Rhabditida, Metastrongylidae. The record is from the annotation of a GenBank genome assembly.